GAAAAUAAAUAUACCUUCAAAUCGCGCCGUGAGCGUGUCAAGGGUUGUGUUAUCGUCGUACCCGAGAGGGAGGGAGAGGGCGAGGGAGAGAGGAGAGAGAGAGAGGGUAACCUCCGGCGAAUCCAUGGCCUUAGAGGACGACGAUCUCAUCUUCCUUCGACGACGGCGACCCCUUCCCCUCGUCAUCCAUCAUCUCCAGCUGCUUUGGUACAAACCCUUGUUGGCACUUGAUCGGCCGACUCCAGUACUCGGACAACGAGGUCCCUCCGACUCUGAGGAUCCCUCAAUUCCGAUUCGUGAUUUGAAGUGGGGCAUAAGGCUGUUCUAGUCUGUUAAAGUUAACGAUAAGGCUAGAUCACUCAAGUCCUUGAUGUGAAAUGGGGAGGGGAUCACCAGCUCGUGAUGAGGAAAAGGUUCUAGAUGAUAAUUCUCCUAAAUCAUCUGCACUAUAAGUCCCUCCACUACUCCCCAACUCCGGCAGCUCCUCUACCUAUUUUUGCUGUUGACCUGACUAAAGAACUCCAAGGAAAUGUGAGAAGAUUGCCUGCUGGAAGGAUUAUUAACCCACUGUUACAAGCAUUGCAAGGGACAGAAUAUAGCCAGACGAGGAAUAGCAUUGCUUGCUCAGCUUGGGUCAUUUCUUGUCAAGUGGAUCACGUUAUGGGAUAGCUUUGCACAUAUAAAACUAAAUGCAAAAAGUAUUGUAUUGUAUUAUAUUGGUACAUAUUUUACCGAAACUGAUAUAUGAGUAACCAUAUCAAAGAGAUAGAUAUGGCUUGGCAGUGCAGGGUGGCUACUGUCAGUCUUGAAUCAACUUUUAUCACUAUUGGAAAGCCCAACAGUAACAUUGCACGGUUGGAAGAUUUUACCAUUGACCUUUAUCCAAUGUUGUAUUAUCCAAUCCUUCUCACUUGUUUUGCUAGGAUUUGUGAAUUUGUCAUGAGAUAUGUGCUUGCGUUACUGUACUGCUUGGAAUUAUAGAGCACUUGCCCUUACCUUGAGUUAGUUAAAGUUUUUGGUGUGAAGUUAGUGUAUUGAGAAGCAAGAAACUAAAUGGGAAAAUGCAUAAAACUUAACAUAAAUGGAUGUUUCACAAGCAUUUUUAAUAUGAUAUUAGAGUUCAAUAUUCGUAGGCAAGCAAAGAUGUCAAUUUAUACCAGCGAUUAGUUGGAAUUAUAGCAAAUUCCAAGGUUGUAUUUAUGUUCAUAUUUGGAUUUUUUGUAGUUUUCAUACAGACUCUGAGUAGUUGGGUCCUAUUGAUACAAACAGGUGUGUACUAGGAAUUGCAAGGUGGAGAAGCAGUCAUUUUGCCACAGUUAACCCAUAUUAUUUACCCACUGAGGACACGGUGAGUGUCAGGACAGUAAAAUUUGAGUUAAUUAUGGCACCUCUAGGAUAGAAGGGUUUUAGCUAGAAAGACAAUUUAAUGCAUCUGUUUUUUACCAAAAUUAACGUAGAAAAUGAAAUUUUGUGAUUAUGUUUUGGAUCUAGGGUUGGUUACAGAGGAAAUGUUAGAAUCAAUAAAAAUUCGGAAAGAAAUGUAAAAACAUUCUUAGGCCAAACAUGUUGAAAAUAAUAGAUUAUGCUUUGGAAGUCAUUAGUCAACUUAGUAUUUACUAUUUUACGAGUUAGUUAUUUCUGAACUUGCUAGUCUGCAACAAAACUUUAUGUAGUAAACAGGACUGAGUUUACUUAUAACACCUAAGAUAGAGAAGACAAUUAUUGAUUAUUUUGCUGGUGGGCCUACAAAUUUGGUUUCAUGCAAGCAAAACACUUCUCUCAGCAAAUAGGAUAUUUAGUUUCAUGCAUUUCAAAUAGUAUAUUAUUCUGUUUUUUUUUUCAUUUUUGAACUUAUUGAAUGGCAUUUACUAUUAGAUUGGUUGGUUUUUUUCUUUUUUCUUUUUUUCUAUUUAGUACAUUUACCAUCAGCAGUGUAGCCUCCGGCUUUAUAAAAAUCGGGCCCCAUGGUGCUGCAAACCAAUAGAGCUAUCAACAGAAAAAUCAACCAAAGUCAGGCUUCUGAGUAAAAGGUUUAGCUGUUGGUUUAUGUGGCAUGUUGAGUCCUGAUGUUCUAGAGGCAGGAUUUCUGGAGGGCUGGGGGCUGGGGUCUGCAAUAAGUUAAUUUUGAAGUAAUCUCCGUAGUAGCUGAUAGGUAGAGGGAGUCUACUUUGGCCUAUUUAUCGUCUCAUGUGCAGGGGUUGUCUUUGGCAGCUGUAUUUUUCUCCUUUGCUCUGGAUGGUUUAUUCACUCUGUCCUAUCAUCGGUAUCGGAUUUAGCUUUUGUUUAUGGAUCUCUAUUGGGAAGGUCUUCUUGCUGAAGUCCCUUGUUAUUUCUACUGUAUCGUAAACUGUGUUCUCUGUGCCUUGGCUUUGGGUUUCAUUUGUGCUGGUUGGACGCUUAAUCAGUGUUUUCUGGCUUUUACUUUUCUUUGAUGGCAUUCCCUUUUCAUAUGCUUGGUUGUGGUUUCUUCAAAGCUUACCAUCUUAAUCAGGAACGAAGACAUGCCGGUUUCUAAUUGCUUUGUGUGGAUUGGAGUGUAUAUCAAGUUGGUCUUCUUUAUGCUGCUUGUUUCCACAGGUUGGCUUGCUUUAAGUGGGAAUCUAUUUGCCUGGGUUUGGUAUAUUUAAGUUAAUGUCAUUUUUGUUGGGAGUUGUAAUCUUGUGGAAUGUUCAAUUCCAAGGUGCUGGGUUUUUUUUUGUUGUGGUUUGAAUUUUUUGGGAUCAUUAUUUGGAUUUUUCUUGCUUGAUUUGCUUUGGUGGACCAAGAAUUCUACUUGGUGGUUUUAUAUAAGUGACGUUAGUAGGCUUCAUCUUUUCUUGGAGCUGUCUCCCUUUAGUAUCGGAAGUUCCUUCUUGUGUUGGCUGAUUUGUGCAUGGUGUUACUUAAGAACUACCUAGAGUAUGUGGAAUGCAAGACCUAACCUAAGAAUAAUUUAGAACAUACAAUACUCAAGAAUAAUCUAGAAUAACUAUAAGACUCCAGAAUAGUCCGGGGAACCUAGAAUACCCUUGAUCCUUCCAGAACCUAGAAUGCCCCAAAUCAUUUCAGAACAAAUUAUAGGACCCUUCAGAUUUCCAAGUUAAACCCUGAAUACUGUCGAAGACGCUAGGGAAGUAUAGAAUAUUCUAAGAAAGCUCUCAGUCUAGGCUCCUGCACGGCAUCCAUAAUUGGUAGGGUGUGACACAUUGCUUAUCCCAGCCAUAUUGAUGUACGAUUGGCAUGAUGUGUGUAGUGUUUAUUUACUUAUCAGUUUUGAUUUGUGCAAAUAAAAUCACUUAUAUACUUGCACUUACCUAACCAAAACACGCAUGCGCACGCACACACACUUGUAGGUUGCAUUGGUUUUGCAUAUUUUGGCUGUUGACAUGUGUAACCUUCUUGGCUGUUCCAUGUGUGUGGCCUUCUUUUCUGCACUUGGUUCUUUACAUAAAAACCUGAUUGCCCUUUGUCCAAUUGUUUUGCACGGAUUGUUUUGAAUUUUCUCAUUAUCAGAUCAUUCACACUCUUGUAUUGUUGAGACCUCAAGGUUCAACCGGGCAGGUUGCUCGAAUGUGCUUUUUAGAAAGUCCAGAUGCUUGUGUGAUUCGGAGAAUACUUGUAGGACCACUAGUUGCUGGUGGUCCUUUACAGGUGGCCUCCUUUCUUUAUAGGGCGGGAAAGGAUUGCCCUUGCAACCACAGUUUCAUCUCACUUUUCCUUAUUUUCUUACUUUUUCAUAUCUAAUUUUCCUUAUGGCCACGUGAGGGAAGAGGAAGGGAAAUGAAUUGUUGGCUAUUUACAAAAUGAACCUGUCUUGUUAUCCUCAUUCAUAAAUUAGUAAAGUAUCUGUACUGGGAUGUGCCAUUUGGCAGACAAAUUGUGAUUUGAUAUUUUGCUGACCGUUUUAUUUAUAUUAGGGUAAUAUUAGAACUAAAUAUUGGCCGUUUAGUGAAGAUGUAAGUUUAUAGUCAUGAACUAGUUGGAAUUAUAGCAAAUUCCAAGGUUGUGUUUAGAUUUUUUGUAGUUUUCGUGCAGACUGUUUGAUCAUUUGAUUCCUAUUGACACAAACAGAUGUUUUCUAGGGAUUGUAAGGCAGAGAAGUUGUGGUCAUUCAUAUUUACACUGAUGAAUGAUGACACAAAGAGGAUAUCUAGACAGUAAAGUUUGAGCUAAUAUGAUUUUUAAGGAGAUGAGGGUUUUAGCGAGGAAGACAAUUUAAUGCACUUUUUCUAUCAAAAUUAACACAGCAUGAAAUUUUGGGAUUUUGUUUUGAGUCUAGGUUUGUUAGCAAGGGAAGGUGAGAAUCAGUAAGUGUUUGGAAAGAAACAGGACAUUCUAUUCCAAACAUUUUGAAACUAAUUAAGUUAUGCUUUGCAUGUCAUUAAUCUAUGAAGUAUUUACCAUGUUAUGAAUAGCCAUAUUUAAACUUGCCAAUCUGCUGCAAAACUCACUCACUAAUAAAUCUCUUUUCUUAUCUGGUGGGGAUAGAAUGGAAUAGUGUGCUGCUACGGUAAGUCAAAAGAGGAAAGUUUCCUUGUAACACCUGAGAUAGAGAAGGCAAUUUUUUUUUUUUUAUUAUUUAGCCCUUUUUUUUUUAGCUUGUGGGCCUACAAGUCUAGUUUCAUGCUUUUAAAACAGUGCCCUUCUAUAUGUAAAUACGAUAUUAUAACAAUAUGCCAAUAAAUGAUUAGGCAACAACGUGUUUCCUUCUGAAGUCAGUUCUUUUGAAUUGUCUAUAUUUUUGUCUAUUUAAAACUUAUAACUAAACCAAACUUCUCUGAUGUUUUGUCUAUAUUAAUUAGGAUAUUACGGGGAAGAUUGUCCUCUUUACCAUGCCAGGGCCUCAAGCUGUUUGCAUCAUUCCUGCUACAGGUUUAAUUUCAAAUGCUACACUACAGCUUGAUUCUUCUAGGGGUACAUUGACCUAUGACGUGUGGCUCCUUAUGUAUCCUAAAAAUUUCAUUUCUUAUGUUACUUGAUUUAACUUUAGUGAUUGUUGCUUUUGAAUGCUGAACAUAUUUUGAGACCUUUGCUAGAAACUUUAGUCCUGUUCUUUCGUGGCAGUUUGAGAUAUGUUUACUUACCAUUGAUGAAAUUUAUGUGUGGUAUCUAUGCAGUUUCUUUCCUUAAUAUCUGAGAGCCAGCAAGCCCCAUGUAGCAAAAUUUUCACCGGAAGUUUUGAAGCAGAAUGUACAUUGUGUGUAAGCUUUUGGUUUUUGUCCAAUCAGGUUACAUCCUUUUAGCUAUAGCAUCUGAAAUAGGUGUGUGACUGCUGGGGUGAGAUUUUUAAGACCUUUAUUUGUAGCUCACAAGGACACUGAAAUUGCUGGAUAUCUAAUUUUCCUUAACUUUUAUACUUGGAGAUUAAUUUAAAGGCCUAGACAAGAAGCGGACCGAAUGACAUGAUUACUUUA
Molecule: RNA transcript, 5393 nt
Organism: Diospyros lotus (date-plum)
Lineage: Eukaryota; Viridiplantae; Streptophyta; Magnoliopsida; Ericales; Ebenaceae
Exons: 3
Source: RefSeq, a predicted model, not a curated record